Molecule: ribosomal RNA, 443 nt
Filed under: uncultured bacterium
Lineage: Bacteria
Description: partial 16S ribosomal RNA
Rfam family: Bacterial small subunit ribosomal RNA
Source: RNAcentral
CCUACGGGAGGCAGCAGUGGGGAAUAUUGGACAAUGGGGGGAACCCUGAUCCAGCGACGCCGCGUGAGUGAAGAAGUAUUUCGGUAUGUAAAGCUCUAUCAGCAGGGAAGAAAGAAAUGACGGUACCUGACUAAGAAGCCCCGGCUAACUACGUGCCAGCAGCCGCGGUAAUACGUAGGGGGCAAGCGUUAUCCGGAUUUACUGGGUGUAAAGGGAGCGUAGACGGCGAUGCAAGUCUGAAGUGAAAGGCGGGGGCCCAACCCCCGGACUGCUUUGGAAACUGUAUGGCUGGAGUGCAGGAGAGGUAAGUGGAAUUCCUAGGGUAGCGGUGAAAUGCGUAGAUAUUAGGAGGAACACCAGUGGCGAAGGCGGCUUACUGAACUGUAACUGACGUUGAGGCUCGAAAGCGUGGGGAGCAAACAGGAUUAGAUACCCCAGUAGUC